AGUGAACGCUGGCGGUAGGCCUAACACAUGCAAGUCGAACGGCAGCACAGUAAGAGCUUGCUCUUACGGGUGGCGAGUGGCGGACGGGUGAGGAAUACAUCGGACUCUACUUUUUCGUGGGGGAUAACGUAGGGAAACUUACGCUAAUACCGCAUACGACCUACGGGUGAAAGCAGGGGAUCUUCGGACCUUGCGCGAUUGAAUGAGCCGAUGUCGGAUUAGCUAGUUGGCGGGGUAAAGGCCCACCAAGGCGACGAUCCGUAGCUGGCCUGAGAGGAUGAUCAGCCACACUGGAACUGAGACACGGUCCAGACUCCUACGGGAGGCAGCAGUGGGGAAUAUUGGGCAAUGGGCGCAAGCCUGAUCCAGCCAUACCGCGUGGGUGAAGAAGGCCUUCGGGUUGUAAAGCCCUUUUGUUGGGAAAGAAAAGCAGCAGGUUAAUACCCCGCUGUUCUGACGGUACCCAAAGAAUAAGCACCGGCUAACUUCGUG
RNAcentral lists this ribosomal RNA (492 nucleotides) under uncultured bacterium. Its description in RNAcentral is "partial 16S ribosomal RNA". It matches the Rfam family "Bacterial small subunit ribosomal RNA", at positions 29 to 507 of the family's 1533-position model. The record is from RNAcentral.